Heterocephalus glaber (naked mole-rat) is the source of this 5025-nucleotide long non-coding RNA. The record is from Ensembl. Lineage: Eukaryota; Metazoa; Chordata; Mammalia; Rodentia; Bathyergidae.
GCGGGACCGAGCUGUCCGCGAGCGGCGAAGCGCGGGCCCCGGGCGCGGCGGGGAGCGCGCGAGGAGACGAGCGCCCGGCGCAGGAACCAGAGGCCGCCGGGGUUCACCGGCUGCCGCCGCGAUGAGCGGCGCCUGGGUUCGGGCUCGGCCUGCCGCCCGCCGGCUUCUCCUCCAGCCCCGGAGCACGAGCCCGACCGCCCCGGAUCGCGCCGCUCUGAGACUUCGGGUCCUGCUGCUGCUGAGCUCGGCUGCGGGCUCGAACUCGCCCGGGUGAUGGCAGAAGGCGUGGAGCUGUGCAGUGCUCCAGCCCACCGUCUCUGGAUCGUUGGCGCCAGUUACUGUUCUGUGCUCGGAGACCCUGUGACCUCCUUGCGGUGGAACAGAAACUAAAAGCUCAGUACAAACUGCUUCUCCAGUGGCGCUUUCUGGGCGUGCGUCUUGGUGGCUGGCAAGGUGGAGGAGUGAAGGGCGGCGAGGCAAGAUCGGAGUAACUCUCCCCGGGAGAGAUGCGGAACGGAAUGGGUAGACCCUCGCUUCAAGUGAUGCCAGAACCUGUGCCGCGUUGCUGAGAUUUCCAACUGCGUGUUGAGGACUAAAGCUGUAAGACUCAGAAAGACUGGUGUGGGUAGUUAGGCUGUGGAUUCCUGUGUUGAGAGUAAAGGACGCAUAGAAGAACGGGAGAGUCAAAUAAGGCAGGAUUAGACAAAAGGGAGGCGAAUGGAUUGAAAAUCAAAUACAGUGGCAGCGCAAGCAUUCUGGAAAGAAGAAAAUCCCUUCUCCAGAUUAGAACAAUUUCAACUCAUAAGUAUUGUGUCAGGGAAAUGUUAGAUUUGGGGUGCCAGUCGGGUCAUACGUAAACACACAGGAAACAGCCUCUAGUUUUGAUUGUGGUCCUAACUCUCUCUGUUACCCUGGGCAGGGCAGGUAAACUUCAUAUGGCUGUUUCUUGUCUGUGAAAGGACGGACCUGUUAAUGCUUUUCAGUUCCAUCGCUCCAUGGUUCUGCUUCCCCAGUGCCCUCUGAACUUCUAACUCAUAAGAACUGUCUGGGGCGAGUCAUUAACUGAACUCAUAUCUGUGAAGACAUCAGCAAAGCGAGCAACUUCUCAUUGCUAUGGAGGCUCUGUGCGCCACACCAUGAUCUCUUAAUCCCUUCACUUUCCCCCACGGAGGUACCAUGAUACUUUGAGAAUAGUCCUCCUUUUCAUCUUGAAACACUCAUCCACCUAGGAAAGAAGGAAAAGGUCCAAGAAGCGGAGCACUGCUAUGGAUUUCACCCUUUUGGCGUUGAUGCCUUGGACACUUCACUUGAUGUCAUUCCCUCGAGGUCUCCGAUGGCGGCAUUUCAAGUCAGCUUCCCUUCUUGCACUCAUGGGAACAACUGAGGCAUUUCCUUCCCUCCAAGUUUAAGUACAGAAACAUUACUCAAACCAGGGGACAUCUGUCUACCAGUCCUGACAUCCAACUAAUAGAGAGUCGCAUUCACCUACUCACACGGAGUCAUGCCCUCCAAUUCGCCUUAUCUGUGUAGUUCAGCUUUUUCAGAUCACUUGUUAAUUUUCGGUUUUCAUCUCUCAUGCACCUUUGCUGUGACAAUGACAGUUCUCCAGUACAACCCCUUUACUAUAAGAGUAUAUGAUUUGGUAACUUUAAGAAAUAAGAUUUCAUAAUUCUGCCUUUUACAAGUUCUUCUUUUACUUCGAAACUGGCAAAGACCCUUUUACGGAUAUAAAAAAGCUCAGUAAAUUUGAACGAACUAAUCUAUACCUUCUCAUCCUGAUAUAUUGUCAUAAAAUUUCACUACAAGGUAUUUUUUCCUUUGUUUGAUAUGGAGGAAUGAAAAAAGUUCAAAUUUCUGUUUUACACUAGUUUUUCUGAGUUUCUUGAAAUGACUUUGCAAUGGGCAUUUUUUGCUCUAUCUAAAUUGAGUGUCAUUAUUAAGGAAACCCUUAUGAAUCCUGAAGUUGAAAAAUAAACCAGGUCAGGUUUGUAUAUGUAAAAUUGCUGACAUCAAUGAUGUUUUUCCAUAUUCUUAUCUGGGCUUAAGAAAUACAUUCUGUAUUUUUCCAGAAUCUUUGUAGCCUUUGAAAGAUUUUUACAAGUAUGUAUGUCUUGACUGAGCUGUCCUUUCUUUAUACGAAAAGCUUGUAUAAUUUUUUUAACUUGUACAGUUGGUAAACUUUUAUGAGAGGAUUGAUAUUCUGAGUCUGUCGGCUUUCAUUUUAUUGUGCUAAGGUUUUUCUAAUGAGUUUUUAAGCAUUUGUGUAGCUAACUAAGUCAUGUUUCAUAUCCAGGUGGUAAAAGCAUUCAUAAAGGAUUGUGAAAAUUUUUAAAAAUUUCUACCUAAGGACAAAUAGUUUGAAAAUUCUGAAAUUGAGCAUGGUCCUUAGAUUGUACUGUUUGUUUUGAAUUUACCGUAAUUUUCAAAAUUAUUUUUGAAGCAAAAUGAAGGUUUAAUGUCAGCAUAAGUGGUUCAGUGUGUCAUGCUGACAAGAAUACUGUUGAGUUAUUUUUAUAUGUAUCAUAAAACUUCCCAUUUUUACAUCAGACAACAGAGGCAAAGGUCAAGUGAUACUUAGAUACUGGCACAUGCAGGGAGUUGCUCUUGGCAGGCAGCAUAUUGAUUCUAGGAGGAGAAAGUGACAGAGUUUGAAGUUUGCAAACUGCCAAUUACAGUCCAGUUGUUCAGGUUGAUGUUGUUUUUCCAAAAUGAAAGUAAACAGAAAACCACUGCUGUGCAAAAAAAAAAAAUAGAGUUUCCCUAUGAGACAGACUUGCAAUGUUAGCAAGGUUACCAGCUGCUUAGGUUCACAGGCUUACGUUUGUUUGCUCUCCGCUGGCCAAAAAAUGAAGGGCAUUUAUUUUGAUAGGAAGAAAAAGGGUUUUAUUCAAAGCUAGCUCGAAGGUGCUGGAUGGGCUGAUUUGCCUCAAAUCACCAACCGUCUUCCCUGGUACAAGUGGCAAAGGGUCCCUUACAGUAUGAGCAGAGGGGAAGGGAUCCCAGAGAGAAGAGCUGAUCUCCACCACUGCAGUGUCACGUGUAGCCCUCUUCUGCCAUUGUCCCCUUCCUGUGCACAGAAAAGGCUCCAGGAGUGGUCCUUAGCCACACAUUCUGUCACUUCUUUCAGGCGGAGGGGAGGAGGGGUUUAUUAUGUGCUCAGCAGGAGGAAGUUUUGAAAAGUUGCUUAUCUCUGAAAGAAAAAAAAAAUCUACCUUUCCAAGUUUCAUUUUGCAUUACUAGUUACAGGAGAACUGCUGCUGACUUUUACCACUCUUCCCAUUUUUCUAAUCUCCCAAGAUAAACCUUGAGAUACAAUACUAUUGUGUUCUAUUUGCCGUGAUAACUUAAGAGUGAAAGUGAAGAUUUGGCUGAAGAAUGGCAACAAAUAAGACAGAAAUGGAGAAGAAAUGAUUUACCUCCUUAAAACGUGCUAGAGCAGGACAAUUUGCAAAAUUGGAAAGGGUAAUAGUUUUAUAGAUCAAAGAUGCUUCUAGAUUGGCAGGUACUUCCAUUCAUCAUGACAGCUUCCUGCCCCAAGACCCAAACAGGUCUUCCCUUAUCACCUGGUUAAGAGAGGCCCCCACCCCGGUCUCAGCUCCUCCACACAUUUAUUUUCAUUCUUUUUUGUUUCAUCGUACAUACCACUACCAAACUUUUCUGCCUUCUUCUACUAAAUGUAAGGCCAUGAUGGUAAGGAUUUUUCUGUCUCAUUCUCCACUGUUUUCAUAAUGUCUUCCACUGUGCCUAACGGAUAUGGUAGUAGGUACCAAGUAACUACUUGAAUGACUGAAUGAAAAUGUUACUUUUCAAAGAUUUGGGUAAAUUCCCAAUUCACUCUUAGGCAGUUUUUCCUAAAUUUUCACAUAUUUGAAUUAUUAUUUAGAACUUUGAAAAUAAUUUGAUAUUUCCAAUAAUAUAAAAUUAUUGGAGUUAUGUAAUGUUUACUUUGUGAAUACUAUUACAGAAGAUAUCAUUCAGAGAAGAAGAUUUUAGGGUGCAGUUUGAGUCUUGAUAGCAGAUAUAGAUAUUAAAGUAAGAAUAUUAUCUUAAUAUUGUUUUGAUAAGGAGCAUGCUACAGUGUAAGAACUAUAAUACCAGAAACUUAAGCAUUAGGCAAUAACAACUUCAGUGGAAUACAUCUGGCCAAGUACACACCAGUGAUUGAAAUGCUCAUGUGAGUAGUGUGUUACACCCAACACAUUAAUCAUCCAUGUUUGAGUGUCUGCUUAAAAGGAUGAUGUUCAAUAUUUUUUUUUAUUUUUUUAUUUUUGGUACCGGGGAUCGAACUUGGGUCUUUCCACUUGCCCAGCAGGCGGCAAAACCACUGAGCUAAAUCCCCGGCUGGUGUUCAAUAUUUACGGAGCUAUAUUCAAACCUAAAAGUAUAUUGCUGCUCAUUGAUGAACACAAGAGUUUUACUGUAAUUACUUUAGAAAUGUAGCACAGUCUGUUUCAUUUAAUAGAAUUAGUAUUUGGCUUCCUAAUUUUUCUGUCAAUUUUUAAAAAUGUAUAGAGUACAAGAGGUACUUCCUUUAAAAGAAAUUAAAAACAAGCCAAAUGACAUAAAAUUAUAUGAUUUAAUUAACAAUGUCAGUGUAAACUAAAUCCUAGGAGAGAAGAAUUCAUAUGCACAUAUAGAUAUGUACACUCUUGCAAUUUCUGGCGAAUCAGUAUAACUGGUAGAGAUGACAUAGCACUGGAAAACUGGCAAUUAUUAGAGUUCUUUCCAAAAAGGAAAAAGGAUAAAUCCUACCCAUUUCAUUUUGGUAAUCUUAUAUCAAUCCAUGGAAAAAUUCCAGGUCAGAUGAUUUGUGAGCUUUAAUAUAUAAGUUAAUGUUCAUGAGUAGCAAACAUAAAUCUUUAGGAAAACUUUUUAUCAAAGUAAUACCAAUUUUUUGGACAAUAGUUGGCUAGAAUAUCUCAAGAGAAUGCCAUGAUAUAGGAUCAUUUUUUCCCCUCUCAGGUUAAGUGUAGACAACAUGUUAAAAUGCGACCUGCAUAACUAAAUAGAAUAACUACAAUCAGU